ACCUGAGCCACAUCAGUGACAAUGCCAGGUCCUUAACCUGAUGAGCCACCAGGGAAUGCCUAUAUUUAUACAUUUUCUUCAUCAUAUUUUAUAAAAAUUAACCCAACAUCAAACACAAGAAGCUGGAAUUUGUCGAAACCCGGCAAUCUUCACAAGGAGUCCUCUUUAUUUUGAGUAGGAUGAGAGUGCUCUGGAAGCCAUAAAAAGCCAUCCCCAAAAAGUCACCCCAUCUUUGACUAUUCUGAAGCUCUAAGUGCAGUUCCCAACCAGCAGUGGAUGCCCUACAGUCUUUCCAGCCCCUGUGCAGAAAGAGAAAGCUCUAGAAUCUGAUCUCCAUCUCAGGUCUGCGGUUCUGACCCCCAGAAGAGGCAAGUUGAGACAAACGCCUGCACGUCACAGCAAUCAACUGUUGUUUGACAAAGAGCCUGUGCCUGCCUUGUCCUGGAAGUUUGUGAUGGAGGAGGAUGGAGGAGGGAACAGCAUCUUCUGGGGGCAGAGAGGCGGAGAAGGAGCCAGCUAACCAGGUGCUCUUCUGUUCCCUGCUACUGGCAAUCGGAUGGCUCCCCACAGGGUUUAUGUCCACCCAAGGCAGUGUUCCCGGACAAAAUGUAAGACAGCUAAGAUUUCUCAUUCUGAGAAUUCUUUUUGGACACAGAAGUCAUUCUAGCCCCAAAAAUUUCUUUACCAGAGAAUUAGAAAUGGUCCUUCCCAACUCUCAUAACCCAGAGCCCUCCCCUUCACCUCCUAAUUUUCCACACAUUCAAGAUUCAAAACACUUCAAGAUGAAAAUCUAGAUUACAAAUUCCUUUCCUGUUAUUUCUGAAGCAGCUGCUGUGAGAGAAACAAGUGUCUGGUUCACAGAUUUGCACGACACAGAAAGUGAAAGAAAAGCAAUACCAAUGAUGAUGAUAAUGAAAAAACAGCCAGGAUGAAGACUGCCUGACACUGAUAUAUAACACCACUAAUUAAAUGUGUGUGUGUGUGUGUGUGUGUGUGUGUGUUUAAUUUCAGCAAAGUGCAGGUGGGGAAGCUAUCGAAGUAGACAGGUGUUUUGGCAAUUCAUUUUCUAGAUAGACAACUGGCUCCUGGCCGAAUUCCCUGUCCUGGAUCACAAACAGAUCCAGACUUACCCAAAGGCUCACUCUUCACUAACAUGCCCAGUGUCCUGCUGUCCCUAGCCUCCCCAAAGAUCUCCAGGGAUUUGCUAAAAAAAGAGAGAGAAAAACAUGAAAAGAUUUGUUCAUUUGGUCUUGAUACAUGCAUUUUAAAAAAAUUCUAUGAGAGAGAGAAGGGUGAAAGAAACCCUCAGUAUAGUGGCUGAAGUUACAUAAUGGGUAGUGAGUAUCCAAUUACAGAUGUUCCCCUUUAUAAAUAGAUUUAUUAUUAUCACCAAAAGGUAUUAAAUGUGAUACUCUAGAGGGCAAUACUCUCCAACAGAAAUAUAAAGUGAGCCAUAUUAAUAAUUAAAAAUUUUCUAGUAGCCUCAUUUAAAAAGUAUA
Molecule: non-coding RNA, 1499 nt
Organism: Sus scrofa (pig)
Lineage: Eukaryota; Metazoa; Chordata; Mammalia; Artiodactyla; Suidae
Source: RefSeq, a predicted model, not a curated record